RNAcentral lists this ribosomal RNA (253 nucleotides) under uncultured bacterium. RNAcentral's name for it is "partial 16S ribosomal RNA". It matches the Rfam family "Bacterial small subunit ribosomal RNA", at positions 524 to 776 of the family's 1533-position model. The record is from RNAcentral.
UACGGAGGGUGCAAGCGUUAUUCGGAAUUACUGGGCGUAAAGCGUAUGUAGGCGGUCUUUUAAGUCUGGUGUGAAAGCCCGGGACUCAAUCCCGGAAGUGCAUCAGAUACUGAUUGACUAGAGUAUAGGAGAGGUAAGUGGAAUUCCUGGUGUAGAGGUGAAAUUCGUAGAUAUCAGGAGGAACAACAGAGGCGAAGGCGACUUACUGGACUAUAACUGACGCUGAGAUACGAAAGUGUGGGGAGCAAACAGG